GCGCGAGUGGCGGAACAGGCAGACGCGCCAGGUUUAGGUCCUGGUGCCCUCGGGCGUGCGGGUUCGACUCCCGCCUCGCGCACCC
RNAcentral lists this transfer RNA (85 nucleotides) under Cellulomonas carbonis T26. Its description in RNAcentral is "tRNA-Leu". It matches the Rfam family "tRNA". Rfam says of the family: Transfer RNA (tRNA) molecules are approximately 80 nucleotides in length. Their secondary structure includes four short double-helical elements and three loops (D, anti-codon, and T loops). Lineage: Bacteria; Bacillati; Actinomycetota; Actinomycetes; Micrococcales; Cellulomonadaceae. The record is from RNAcentral.